UUAGAUAGGUAAUACUUUGAUGUCACCGAUUGUUUCUAGAGCAAGUGGCAAAGGACUUGGUGGUUUGUACCCGAGAUCUAAGUUCGAAUUUUAGUUGAUUCACAUUUCUAGCUAAGUUUAUUUCUAAAUGAAAUAAACGAAGCGUGUAGCGUAUUACCUAUCUCUCAAAAAAAAAAAUUUACUUUGAUGUCUAUCGGUAU
Molecule: long non-coding RNA, 200 nt
Filed under: Ananas comosus (pineapple)
Lineage: Eukaryota; Viridiplantae; Streptophyta; Magnoliopsida; Poales; Bromeliaceae
Description: long non-coding RNA (ACOM_LNC036754)
Source: RNAcentral